CCUACGGGUGGCAGCAGUGGGGAAUAUUGGGCAAUGGGCGCAAGCCUGACCCAGCAACGCCGCGUGAAGGAAGAAGGCUUUCGGGUUGUAAACUUCUUUUCUCAGGGACGAAGAAAGUGACGGUACCUGAGGAAUAAGCCACGGCUAACUAGGUGCCAGCAGCCGCGGUAAUACGGAGGUGGCAAGUGUUAUCCGGAUUUAUGGGGUGUAAAGGGUGUGUAGGGGGGAGGGCAAGUCAGAGGGGAAAACUAGGGGACCAACCCUGGACCUGCAUUUGAGACUGUGUUUCGUGAGUGCUGGAGAGGCAAGCGGAAUGCGUGGUGUAGCGGUGAAAGGCUUAGAG
Molecule: ribosomal RNA, 343 nt
Filed under: uncultured bacterium
Lineage: Bacteria
Description: partial 16S ribosomal RNA
Rfam family: Bacterial small subunit ribosomal RNA
Source: RNAcentral